GGCGUGGGUACCAUGGCAACGGAGAGGGCCUGCGUCUCGGGUUCCGGAAGCCGGAGAGAGCUGGUGCUUUGAAGCUACCUGGGUCAAAGGAUGCUGAGUCCCGAGCGUCUAGCCCUACCGGACUACGAGUAUCUGGCUCAGCGACAUGUGCUCACAUACAUGGAGGAUGCAGUAUGCCAGCUGCUAGAGAACAAGGAGGAUAUUAGUCAAUAUGGCAUUGCCAGGUUCUUCACUGAAUAUUUUAACAGUGUAUGCCAAGGAACUCACAUUCUCUUUCGGGAAUUCAGCUUCAUCCAAGCCACCCCCCACAAUAGAGCAUCGUUUUUACGGGCCUUCUGGAGGUGCUUCCGAACUGUAGGCAAAAAUGGUGAUUUGCUGACCAUGAAAGAAUAUCACUGUUUGCUGCAAUUACUGUGCCCCGAUUUCCCACUGGAGCUUACUCAGAAAGCAGCCAGGAUUGUGCUUAUGGAUGAUGCCAUGGACUGCUUGAUGUCUUUUUCAGAUUUCCUUUUUGCCUUCCAGAUCCAGUUUUACUACUCAGAAUUCCUGGACAGUGUGGCCACCAUCUAUCAGGACCUAUUAUCAGGCAAGAACCCCAAUACAGUGAUUGUGCCAACAUCAUCCAGUGGGCAACACCGCCAGCGACCUGCCCUGGGCGAGGCCAGCAUGGAGGGAGUGGAGGCAUCGCUCUUCUACCAGUGCCUGGAAAACCUGUGUGACCGGCACAAGUACAGCUGCCCACCCCCGGCACUUGUCAAAGAAAUCCUAAGCAACGUUCAGAGACUGACCUUUUAUGGAUUCCUUGUGGCUCUCUCAAAGCAUCAUGGGAUCAACCAAGCCCUAGGAGCUUUGCCUGACAAAGGGGAUCUGAUGCAUGACCCAGCCAUGGACGAGGAGCUGGAACGGCUGCUGGUCCAGGUCCCAGGUCUGGUCAACUCAAUCACUGCCAGUCCAGAGGCCAGCUGCCUGCCUUCUCGGACCCCUCCUCGGGUUCGAUCCCCCUGGAGACCCCUCCAUCACUCCCGAAAAGUGGAUGCAGAGAGCGAUGGCUCCACUGAAGAGACAGAUGAGUCCGAGACUUGAGGAGUCUGAGGGUCCUGCCUGCAGCACCCUUACCCUGCCCCAUGCCAGUCCUUGGUGCUCCCAUCCAGCCUCCUCUCCAGCACUCUGCCAUGCUGCCCUCUGCUGGCAAAAAGGCUGAGUAACAGCCCCAGCCCAAAGACCUGCCAGAGAGGUGCUGAUCUGCCAAGCCAAACAGUGACACUAGAAAGUUAACACCCUGCUCUCCUGGGCCCUGUCAACCUUGGAGCAUGCCAAGCCCCAGGUUGACAGACUGUACUGAAACCACUUCAUCACCACGGAGGGGACUUGACCUUAGCCUUUUGUUAAUAGGCCUAACCUCUUAAGGAAAAGCAGUCUCAACCAACCUUUGCUAGCCCCGAUAAGGUUCAUUUCACAGCAACUUCCUUAAGGGGGAGAACAUGAAUAGCCAUGCAAGGCUUUGCAUGGUCAAGGGUGACGCUGGAGAUCCAAAUACUGGCAGGACAUAACCACUGUGGCCUUCUGCUGGAGGAACAGCCAGUAGCUAUGGUAGGAUGGAGAAGGGUGGGCAAAAAGACACUUUCACUUUCAAAACCUGCUUCAAGUCUCCUCUGUGUCUAAGAGUUUAAUACAUGAAAUUACUAAAGUCUCUUGUGUUGGGUAAAUGGUUGCGUCUAAAGCCACUAGGCUGGCUCAGCGCCCAUAGCUCAGUGGUUAGGGCACUGGCCACAUAUACCAGAGCUGGCAGGUUCAAAUCCGGCCCAGGCCUGCUAAACAAUGACAACUGCAACAAAAAAUAGCCGGGCAGGCGGCGCCUGUGGCUCAAAGGAGUAGGGUGCUGGCCCCAUACGCUGGAGGUGGCAGGUUCAAACCCAGCCCCAGCCAUAAAAAACUGCAAAGAAAAAAAUAGCUGGGUGUUGUGGCGGGCACCUAUAGUCCCAGCUAGUUGGGAGGCUGAGGCAAGAGAAUCACUUAAGCCCAAGAGUUUAAGGUUGCUGUGAGUUGUGAUGCCACAAUACUCUACCAAGGACAAUAUAGUGAGACUUUCUCAAAAAAAAUAAAGCCACUAGACUGAGGAGGUGUAGAGAAAGGGGUGAGUUCGAGGGUUUGGUGCCUAUUUGGAAGGGGCAGGAGGUGGAAGCCAGUGGCCCACUCAAACCUGGAGACCUGCCUCACAUACUGAGCAGCUGAGAUCAACCUGAUAAGAUGCUUACAGCUGGAACAGGCCUUCUGGAAAUAAGCUCAGAAGGUUCAAUGCCAACUUCCCAUAACUUUAAAGACCCUGACCACAAAGAGUUAGCAUAGCCGUCUAGCCAGGGUUUCAUUAAACAUUUGCCAGUCACCUACUUGGCAGGGGGGAGUAUGCCAACCAUCUGCAGACAUCCUCAAAAAUUUUUUUUUUUUUUCAGACAGAGUCUCACUGUACCGCCCUCGGUAGAGUGCCGUGGCGUCACACGGCUCACAGCAACCUCCAACUCUUGGGCUUACGCGAUUCUCUUGCCUCAGCCACCCGAGCAGCUGGGACCACAGGCGCCCGCCACAGCGCCCGGCUAUUUUUUUGUUGCAGUUUGGCCAGGGCCGGGUUUGAACCCACCACCCUUGGCAUAUGGGGCCGGCGCCCUACUCACUGAGCCACAGGCGCCGCCCAUGUUAACUAUUUUUUUAAACUCCAUUCAGAAACACAUCCCCCAGUCAAGCUACUAUAUUGUGAAGAGGGGCAGGGCUGUUGAGCUCCUAAUACUGGCUCUUUUCUC
RNA transcript from Nycticebus coucang (slow loris), 2795 nucleotides. It is a transcript of the gene named centriolar satellite-associated tubulin polyglutamylase complex regulator 1, with no coding region annotated. NCBI's taxonomy places the organism in Eukaryota, Metazoa, Chordata, Mammalia, Primates, Lorisidae. The record is from RefSeq and is a predicted model, not a curated record. The transcript is spliced from 10 exons.